Ribosomal RNA from Danio rerio (zebrafish), 117 nucleotides. NCBI's taxonomy places the organism in Eukaryota, Metazoa, Chordata, Actinopteri, Cypriniformes, Danionidae. The record is from Ensembl.
GGCCACAGCCAUAUCAACCUGCAGCCCAAGAGCGGUUACUCGCUGAAGCUAAGCAGGGCUGAGCCUGGUUAGUACCUGCAUGGGAGACCUCAAUGGGAAACUAGGUUGCUGUUGGCU